This 274-nucleotide ribosomal RNA is filed under the name uncultured bacterium. RNAcentral's name for it is "partial 16S ribosomal RNA". It matches the Rfam family "Bacterial small subunit ribosomal RNA", at positions 523 to 796 of the family's 1533-position model. The record is from RNAcentral.
AUACGGAGGGUGCAAGCGUUGUUCGGAAUUACUGGGCGUAAAGCGCGCGUAGGCGGUUUGAUCAGUCGGAUGUGAAAGCCCUGGGCUCAACCUGGGAACUGCAUUCGAUACUGUCAGACUAGAAUAUGGUAGAGGGUAGUGGAAUUCCUGGUGUAGCGGUGAAAUGCGUAGAUAUCAGGAGGAACAUCAGUGGCGAAGGCGGCUACCUGGACCAAUAUUGACGCUGAGGUGCGAAAGCGUGGGGAGUAAACAGGAUUAGAAACCCUAGUAGUCC